Molecule: ribosomal RNA, 440 nt
Filed under: uncultured bacterium
Lineage: Bacteria
Description: partial 16S ribosomal RNA
Rfam family: Bacterial small subunit ribosomal RNA
Source: RNAcentral
CCUACGGGAGGCAGCAGUGGGGGAUAUUGCACAAUGGGGGGAACCCUGAUGCAGCGACGCCGCGUGGGUGAAGAAGCGCCUCGGCGCGUAAAGCCCUGUCAGCAGGGAAGAAAAUGACGGUACCUGAAGAAGAAGCCCCGGCUAACUACGUGCCAGCAGCCGCGGUAAUACGUAGGGGGCAAGCGUUAUCCGGAUUUACUGGGUGUAACGGGGGCGCAGACGGCGAUGCAAGCCAGGAGUGACAGCCCGGGGCCCAACCCCGGGACUGCUCUUGGAACUGCGUGGCUGGAGUGCAGGAGGGGCAGGCGGAAUUCCUGGUGUAGCGGUGAAAUGCGUAGAUAUCAGGAGGAACACCGGUGGCGAAGGCGGCCUGCUGGACUGCAACUGACGUUGAGGCCCGAAAGCGUGGGGAGCAAACAGGAUUAGAUACCCCAGUAGUC